This 688-nucleotide ribosomal RNA is filed under the name uncultured Streptococcaceae bacterium. RNAcentral describes it as "bacterial SSU rRNA". It matches the Rfam family "Bacterial small subunit ribosomal RNA", at positions 63 to 738 of the family's 1533-position model. The record is from RNAcentral. Lineage: Bacteria; Bacillati; Bacillota; Bacilli; Lactobacillales; Streptococcaceae.
AACGCUGAAGGAGGAGCUUGCUUCUCCGGAUGAGUUGCGAACGGGUGAGUAACGCGUAGGUAACCUGCCUGGUAGCGGGGGAUAACUAUUGGAAACGAUAGCUAAUACCGCAUAAGAGUAGAUGUUGCAUGACAUUUGCUUAAAAGGUGCAAUUGCAUCACUACCAGAUGGACCUGCGUUGUAUUAGCUAGUUGGUGGGGUAACGGCUCACCAAGGCGACGAUACAUAGCCGACCUGAGAGGGUGAUCGGCCACACUGGGACUGAGACACGGCCCAGACUCCUACGGGAGGCAGCAGUAGGGAAUCUUCGGCAAUGGACGGAAGUCUGACCGAGCAACGCCGCGUGAGUGAAGAAGGUUUUCGGAUCGUAAAGCUCUGUUGUAAGAGAAGAACGAGUGUGAGAGUGGAAAGUUCACACUGUGACGGUAUCUUACCAGAAAGGGACGGCUAACUACGUGCCAGCAGCCGCGGUAAUACGUAGGUCCCGAGCGUUGUCCGGAUUUAUUGGGCGUAAAGCGAGCGCAGGCGGUUAGAUAAGUCUGAAGUUAAAGGCUGUGGCUUAACCAUAGUACGCUUUGGAAACUGUUUAACUUGAGUGCAAGAGGGGAGAGUGGAAUUCCAUGUGUAGCGGUGAAAUGCGUAGAUAUAUGGAGGAACACCGGUGGCGAAAGCGGCUCUCUGGCUUGUA